ACCCGACGAGCUGAACUUUGUUGGCUUAAUGUCGUCAACUCACUUUUUGUUUAUCACUGGUUACCCACAAUGCACCUGACAGGAAGUGCUGCUUUUCAGUCGGCGCGCGGCUGGAGGUAAACAAGCAGCCGGCAUGGCACGUUGAGUACAGCCACACUUUUCAUUCGCAGGCAAAUCUAGCGACCCGGUGUCCGUUUGUACACACUGAUGACAGUUUUGCCAUGAAAGUGACGGCACCCAACGCAGCAAUAACGUCAACUGAGGCUGUCAGUGCGCAGGGAGCAGACUUUUUAACCAACAUGUGUUUCUCCGUCGCAUGAUGGAGGGAUCGCACUCGGAAGAGCUGUAUCGAAAUCCCCACCUUCUCUCCCUGAGUGGAAAGAUAAUCGUAUUUAACCACACACCGGCGUCAUGCGCCAAAGACGGCGACAGAGGUGAGUCAAUUAGCCACGGCCAUGCCUCGUUUGAACGGGCGAGCUGCAGGUUCCUGAAGGCGGCGCCCCGGGCAGUUGCCAUCGGCGGCAUGAAAACAUCCGCUCACGUGGACAUCAGAUGUAAAUGUGCCGUGGACGUUCAGAGGAGAGUCACCACGCCGUGCGUCCUAGUGACGCGGAGGAGUGAGAAGGGAGCCAGCUUCCGGUACAGUCUGCUCACACUGAGCCGCUCCAACCGACUGGAGCCCUGCUUUGAGUUCACACUGCCGUAUGAAAUGAAGGGCUCCGUCCUCCGCGGCCCCACGGUGCUGUGGAGUCAUGCUGGCCAUGUCUUCUACACAUCUCUGCAGGCAGGAGAGGUGAGGCAGAGGCAGAUCCCCCUCCCGUUGUCCCACUGUGUCUUUGGAGAGCUGCCCCUCCACAGAGGACAGGUGUUUGUUCUUGGCCUGCACAAUGAAUGCGAGGAUCAGACCACAAGCCGAGUACUGGGCUACAUGGUUGAGAGUGGACAAGCCUUCGACGGCUCUGUGGUUUUACCUCUCCCCUACGUUGGCAUCACACGGUGCAUGUUGGUGCUCUCAGCUGACAAAGAGGACGGUGCGCUGAAAGUCGCUGCGGUCGCAGCGACCUCGCAUCAGCAACUCGUCUAUUUCCAGAAUGGAAAUGUAAAAGACACGUGCCCGCUCCCCUUCCAGUUGCCUGAAGACAUUCAGUUGGCCAACACUGGAAGGAAUGGCUUCCUGUUUGUCAUAUCCUUUCACCAGGGGCAUGUUUGUGCCGUAUGGAAGGAAACAUUUCAGAUAGCCUCCUGCUGGUCAGGUGUCAGCUCCGUCCACGUGGAUGACUUCCUGGGAUGUGGAACAGACCAGAUCCUGUUGUUUUUUAGGGAUGGAGGUGUAAAAGGGCUGCCACUGGAUCACUUCCUUAUCACUGACCUCUGUGGUAUUUCAUAUUCUCACGGACAGGAUACUGCAGCACCCAAGCAAACUUCUCCCCUGCCAGAGAACAACCUUCUCACUCUUCAAGCCUUGGAGUCCAGACUACAGAGUGGACUGACCGUGCUUCAGGAGCUUCAGAGAGAAGUGAGAGUGAAGGACCGAGUUGUACAGCAGUCGGUCCAAGCACUCAAUGAUGUUUCCUCGGGGAGAGAACUUGUUCUCACACCGCCUGAGCAGGAAGGCCUCAGCGCUCUGUGGGACUCUGAUGAUGAGUCGAACGAUGAGGCCUCGGAUGACAAGACGCAAGACAUGCCGGCAGUGUCUUCGAAUCCUCAAAUUGACAAGCUGUGGCAUCGCAUCGCAGAGGACCGAAUAGUUGUGGGAGUGAUACUGAUGAUCGACAGCUCUGUACCAGUGGCCAGUGUGAGCUUAUCCAUCCUGACAGAGACGGGCCAGAGCUCAACGCCCGCGGUCAUCCAGACCCAGAGCCAAGUGUUGUGGCUCCCCACACCCUGCCCGUCAUCCUCCUCCUCUGCCUCCACCUUACCAGAGCCCGCAGCCAAAAGGUGCAGGCAGCGCAUCGCCAGCACACCCAAUGAUCUCAACACAUGCAGAAUGGCUGUGACUGCCGUGUCCAGGCUGACUCCUCUGUUGAACUCUGGCUGUGUCAAGUGCCGCGUCAUGCUCCAUUACGUCCAGAGACAAGAUGCUUUUUCUCUCCUGAGCAGCCCAACACCGGUUGUCCUGCACUGUGGUCAAGUUGCUGUAGACAUCCGCAGCGAUUUCCAAACCCAAUUGCUGAAAAACCCCAAACUUAAAACAGAUGAGGUUAAAGAGGACUUGCUGUGUUUGUUGACUGUGCUGGAUCGCUGGGUCUUCCACAUAGACUCUCCUGACCACAGCUUAGGAGACAUAGAUGGCUGGAUUCAGAAAAUAGUGGGUUGUAAAAGGGUAGACGUGAGCCCUCAGUAUCUACUUUUCGAUUCCGCUGGACCAUCUGCUCUCAUCCUGCUAGGCUGGCGUCAGAUAACUCCUUUCCAGGGGGAACUAUCUGUCCACUCCAGCCAGUUACAGAUGCUUAAGUUCCUGGACUCUCUCUUGGCGUACCUGCCCGUGUCCUGCUCUGUCCAGCCUGUCAAAGAUAAAAACCUCCCCUCAGUCACUCACCUCUGUCCCUGCUAGCGACGAAGAAGAAUUGUGAAUCCUGUACAGUAAAUAACACCAGUAAAUGGCCUGUGGCGAAGCACUGUAGAUCACAGGUGAAAGAUGAAUCUCUAUCGGUGUUCCCUCAGAGCCCCCGACUGCCACCCAGAGUAGAAUAUAUGUUUUGUCGUCCCAUUAUUGCCUGUGAAGUUCUAUUAACUCUGAGUGGUGGAAGUAAGCCGCAGGGUCUCUGCCCUCUGCUGAAGCCCCCUCACCUUGAUGGACAGUGACAGCGUGAUAGAUUAAUAACGAUGUUGUUCUGAAACAUCUCAGACAUGUAAAAAACUCCACCUCAUCUCACCUGUCAAUAUGAUUUUUAGGAAAAUUGACAUCGGGCAGAUUUCUUGUGUACACAUUUGUGGAUGCCAGCUGUCAACAUAUCACUAAAGUAUGGAAGCUUAUUUCUGCCGUUUUUUAUUAAAUAUAACAUAAGGUAUUUGGUAUAAUGUUGGAGAUAAAAACUCAGCAUUUUGUGCCUUUUCUUAACUUAAGUUAAAUUUAGUGGUAUUCUAAAUAGGUUGACCCUUUUGUUUGCAAUUGAAUCACCGCUUGUGUCUUUGAUAAUAUGUCAUUAAUUUGAGUCAUACUGAGCCAUGUUUGUAUUGAUUCUGUAUAUGAUGGUCUGGUCUCAGCCUGCAGUUGACUGAUAUUAAUUGGGGUUAGAGGGUUUCCUCUCCUCUGGACUCUGGAACUCAGUGGGUCAACCAAACAGAGGAGGACAUUGAUUAUAUCUACAACAUAAUGUAGUGUACAGACCACAUGCAAUACAGCCAUAAACAUAAUUCUAUAUACCCAGACCCCCUCCAUGUGAUGCAACCCUGGUUCAAAGAGAGAAAGUCCUUAUCCCUAUUUAAAUUAUUCAACUUGGAUUGUAUCUUUUGCAUAAAAGGGCAUAAUACUGCACAAAACAGUACACACAAAUUCAUUAUUCCUAUUAGAAAUGCUUGGCUUCUAAGGUUUAACCAGAUUUUACCAUGUCGAUGCUCAACAUAAAGUCCACUCACUUUGUUUCAUAAGCUUUCAACCGCAUCCGACUUCCAUCUGCAGAUAGUUCAGCUCAGUUGUCAUGGAGAUGGUUUAGUUGCACCGAAGUUGUGGUUUUCAGAUGCUGCCUCGUUUCAAAAAUGGCCUCUGAGGUUUUAUUAACCCAUGUAGCAUACAGUUCUUAGUGUGACUUCAUAGACACAUGAGGCUUCCCUGACCUCUUUACAAACACAUGGUGCCUGUUGUGUAGUUUGAAAAACAUUGUGGAAGCAUAAUCAUCAAAUUAUAACCCACAGAAGAAAUUCAUUUUUGAUGAAGUGCAAUAUUUAUGUUAAAAAUGCCAAAACCAUACACCAGUGUUCUUAACUUCAUUAAUGUUCCUGCUUUUCCAGUCACAUCGGCCCUAUCAACUGCCUCCAGUUGCUAUGGCAACCCUGAUUUCUCUCAGUCCCCUCGAAGCAGCCUCCCCAAACCUUAAUGAAUGGGGGCGGAGGAACUCUUUCUGUUGCCUGGAGACAAAAUUGACCCCGGCAUAUUCUAGCAGUGCAGCAAAUACAAAGAGCAGACACACAGCCAUCCAGAUGUCGAUGGCUUUCACGUAAGAAACCUGGGGGAGAAAAACAGAGUUCCCUUUGUCAGAUCAACCCAAGGUAACAACAUCUCCUGCUCAAAUGUAAUAGAAAUUUGUGCUUUGACUUGAAAUGCUGUAUUAUUUUUUUUUAACCUUUCUGAAUUAUUUUUGAAUCCUAGAUCUGUUAGAUCCACCAGGUGACCUGCACUUAAUUAUUCUUCCUGUUUCCUCCCCUUUAUUUUGCUCAUUAUAUCAGUUAACUGUGACUGCUACACGACUAUAAUUAGAGGGGGCGUCAGGGCUGCCGGCCAUGUCAGCGAUUGCACGGCCAUCAACAGAAGGAAAUAAUUGCUGCUUUAAUUGCCUCUAGAAAGAGAAGUGUGGCAUUAGUUUGUACCUUGAGCACUGGUUUUGAUCUGUUUCCUUUUGAGAAAGUGAGGAUGAAGUUGAAAGCAGUUGCUCUACUCCUCGGUGUGACCUCGCAUCUCCGUGACAGCUGAUUAGCAUGUGGAGAAAACAGCUCAGCUUUUUGAGGAGCUUUUAAAGGCCUAUCGAGUUAUUGUUUUCCCCCGAAUCGAGGUGCUCGCAGGAUGCUCUUUAAAUAUUUAUCAGCGUAUACGUGUCUUCUAUGUGCGAAAUCUCUGUCGUGGCUGAGGCCUUAGUUCUGAUGCGCAGAGAGUGACUGAUCAAUCGAGAUCGGACUCUCGGUGCCUGUAGUGCCCUUCAGGAGAUAUGUGCAUAGCAAUUUGCCCUGAUUGGAAAUAAGGGGAGCGCGCAGACUGCCGCCGCGGAUGGUAAUGUAUACAUUCUUCAGACGAAAGCAAAUUCAUUGUGUGACAGAAAUGGCGGAUGCUGUGAAUUACAUCAAUCAGGGGAAAAGAGACGGCCGGUCGAGGCGUUGUUAUCCUCUGCAUUACAAUGGCUUUCACACAUAUAGUGUGUGAAUGAGGUAAACUGUGUCUGAUGGAAGGUAAGUCAACAGUUUAAGUAUCUUUUCGCGGUUUUGAUUUGUUUGUGGUUUAGGAUGAGAUUUUGUCUACUUGUUUGUCUUUAUGCUUACCUGAGAUAUGAAUCUGUCCUCUGACUAAUACAACACGUAAAUAUUGCUGCUUGGCUUAUGCAAUUGGAGAGAGUACCACAUACGUCCUAUUCUAGCUCUGAUAGAAAUUUCACAGGUACAUCGAUUACGCAUGUUUCAGAGUACCCCUGGGUAUUUAUGUCCCAAUGGCUACAUAUAUUAAGCAUAAACCCCCUGACUCCAAUAAACUAUGAUCAGAUGCCUUCCUUAAUCUCACAGUUUGAGUUCUCGGUGUUAGAAUCUUUAGCUGCAUAAUGCUAACCCCAACCAAAGUCACAGAAACGGAUUUAAACUUUAUCCUAGCUACUUUAAAUUUUUUAGCCUAUGUCAAAUAAUGUAAUAUGAUCUGGCCAAGAUGUUUUGAUUAAUGCCAAAACUUUACACACUUCAAAUUCCAAUUGGUAAUAAAUCAGUGAUAUUAAAAAUGGUUUGCAAGAACCUUUAACUUUAGCUACGUAACAUCUGACUUACCUAACACGAUUUGAAUCUGUAUAACAAUACGUAAACAUAUACCAUAUAAUACCUGCUGUGCCUGCAUGCGUUUAUUUCAGUCUUGUUUCAACAUGUUUUUACCAGAGGAGGCUGAGGUUUACCUUUGGAAGAGAAGCUCUGGAGCCGGAGCUUUGCGUGGUCAUGGUAAGCACAGUGGUGAUGCCCAGUGCCACUCUGGCAGGAGCCGCGUCCAUAUUGAUCCAAAAAGACACCCAGGACAGGAUGACGAUCAGGAGGGAGGGGAUGUACAUCUGGAUCAGGUAGUAGCCCAUCUGGCGCUCCAGGUGGAAUUUCACUUCAAUACAGGUGAAUUUUCCUGUUUAACACAAACACACCACAUGAGAAUUUUGGCUGUAUGAAAUAUAAACUAGGG
This is an RNA transcript of Scophthalmus maximus (turbot), 6073 nucleotides long. It is a transcript of the gene named FA complementation group B, with no coding region annotated. The transcript is spliced from 10 exons. Lineage: Eukaryota; Metazoa; Chordata; Actinopteri; Pleuronectiformes; Scophthalmidae. The record is from RefSeq and is a predicted model, not a curated record.